This 408-nucleotide ribosomal RNA is filed under the name uncultured delta proteobacterium. RNAcentral's name for it is "bacterial SSU rRNA". It matches the Rfam family "Bacterial small subunit ribosomal RNA", at positions 9 to 419 of the family's 1533-position model. The record is from RNAcentral. Lineage: Bacteria; Deltaproteobacteria.
GAGUUUGAUCAUGGCUCAGAACGAACGUUAGCGGCGCGCCUAAGACAUGCAAGUCGAGCGAGAAAGGGAUUCGUCCCGGUAAAGCGGCGCACGGGUGAGUAACACGUAGGUCAUCGACCCUCGAGCGGUGGAUAACCCUCCGAAAGGAGGGCUAAUACAGCAUGAUGCUAGCAAUAGCCAAAGCGGGCCUCUUCUUGAAAGCUCGCGCUAGAGGACGAGCCUGCGGCCCAUCAGGUAGUUGGCGGAGUAAUAGCCCACCAAGCCAUAGACGGGUAGCUGGUCUGAGAGGAUGAACAGCCACACUGGAACUGAGACACGGUCCAGACUCCUACGGAGGCAGCAGUGGGGAAUAUUGGACAAUGGGCGCAAGCCUGAUCCAGCCAUGCCGCGUGUGUGAAGAAGGCCUUC